GAGGGGUAUAGGCUUUCGGGUCUAGAGACCGGCGCACGGGUGCGUAACGCGUAUGCAAUCUACCUUUCACAGAGGGAUAGCCCAGAGAAAUUUGGAUUAAUACCUCAUAGUAUAUAAUCUUCGCAUGAAGGUUAUAUUAAAGUCACAACGGUGAAAGAUGAGCAUGCGUCCCAUUAGCUAGUUGGUAAGGUAACGGCUUACCAAGGCGACGAUGGGUAGGGGUCUUGAGAGGGAGAUCCCCCACACUGGUACUGAGACACGGACCAGACUCCUACGGGAGGCAGCAGUGAGGAAUAUUGGUCAAUGGACGCAAGUCUGAACCAGCCAUGCCGCGUGCAGGAUGACGGUCCUAUGGAUUGUAAACUGCUUUUGUACGGGAAGAAACACUGCUUCGUGAAGCAGCUUGACGGUACCGUAAGAAUAAGGAUCGGCUAACUCCGUGCCAGCAGCCGCGGUAAUACGGAGGAUCCAAGCGUUAUCCGGAAUCAUUGGGUUUAAAGGGUCCGUAGGCGGUUUGGUAAGUCAGUGGUGAAAGCCCAUCGCUCAACGGUGGAACGGCCAUUGAUACUGCCAGACUUGAAUUACUGGG
This 589-nucleotide ribosomal RNA is filed under the name uncultured Bacteroidota bacterium. RNAcentral describes it as "bacterial SSU rRNA". It matches the Rfam family "Bacterial small subunit ribosomal RNA", at positions 64 to 654 of the family's 1533-position model. The record is from RNAcentral. Lineage: Bacteria; Pseudomonadati; Bacteroidota.